CCAACAGGGAUUGCCUCAGUAACGGCGAGUGAAGCGGCAACAGCUCAAAUUUGAAAUCUGGCUCUUUCAGGGUCCGAGUUGUAAUUUGUAGAGGAUGCUUCGGGUGCGGCGCCGGUCUAAGUUCCUUGGAACAGGACGUCAUAGAGGGUGAGAAUCCCGUAUGUGACUGGCGACCAAGCCCAUGUGAAGCUCCUUCGACGAGUCGAGUUGUUUGGGAAUGCAGCUCUAAAUGGGUGGUAAAUUUCAUCUAAAGCUAAAUACCGGCCAGAGACCGAUAGCGCACAAGUAGAGUGAUCGAAAGAUGAAAAGCACUUUGGAAAGAGAGUUAAAAAGUACGUGAAAUUGUUGAAAGGGAAGCGCUUGCAACCAGACUUGCCUGCAGGUGAUCAACCGUCCUUUUGGGCGGUGCACUCUCCUGCGGUCAGGCCAGCAUCGGUUUGGGCGGCUGGAUAAAGGCCCCGGGAAUGUAGCUUCCUCCGGGGAGUGUUAUAGCCCGGGGUGCAAUGCAGCCAGCCCGGACCGAGGACCGCGCUUCGGCUAGGAUGCUGGCGUAAUGGUUGUAAGCGACCCGUCUUGAAACACGGACCAAGA
This 591-nucleotide ribosomal RNA is filed under the name Elixia sp. ASU-THNIII-11177. Its description in RNAcentral is "eukaryotic LSU rRNA". It matches the Rfam family "Eukaryotic large subunit ribosomal RNA", at positions 65 to 671 of the family's 3401-position model. The record is from RNAcentral. Lineage: Eukaryota; Fungi; Ascomycota; Lecanoromycetes; Umbilicariales; Elixiaceae.